RNAcentral lists this long non-coding RNA (430 nucleotides) under Nicotiana tabacum (common tobacco). Its description in RNAcentral is "long non-coding RNA (NTAB_LNC013665)". The record is from RNAcentral. Lineage: Eukaryota; Viridiplantae; Streptophyta; Magnoliopsida; Solanales; Solanaceae.
UGACAUUUUAGCACUAAAUCAUAUCUUGAAUUCCAUGGCCACUACAAAAUUCUCCCUUCAAUCAGUUUUGCUGCUUUCCAUGGUUUUGUUUUCCAUGUUGGCUCUUCAUCAUUGUAUGUCCAUAUUAAUUCCUUUUAAACUUAGUUUUUUUUUAUUUUAUUUUAUUAUUAUUAUUAUUAGAAUUACCAAAAAAAUUGCAACAACAUGAAAUAGAUUUAUGUACGAUUACCUGUUGUUAUCUUUUAGUUGAUCUGAUAGUGUAAAAAUUUUUAUUUCACGAAAUGCAGGUGACGAAAGUACAAAAGUUAAAGCACAAGUUUUAAUCGAUCCAUGCAUCCAAGUUCCUGGUGUACCAGCUAAAUGGUGUUGUGCUUGGGCUCCAGGAUGCUAUCCUUCUUAUGAAGAAUGUCUUGCAAAUUGUCACCAUUGA